AUUGAACGCUGGCGGCAGGCCUAACACAUGCAAGUCGAGCGGAAUCAGCGAGCCUGCUCCCGGACUCAGCGGUGGCCGGGGGGGUUAUGCCUAUGAGUCUGGCAGGUCGUCGGGGAAAUCGUCCGGAUACGGGAGCUACUACUGCAUACGUCCUUAUGUCGACAGGGGGUGAGCCUCCGAUCUCAUGGUUUCAGGUGAGCGUAGGUCCGAUCCGCUAGUUGGAUGGGUAAAGGCCUACCAAGGCGACGAUCCGUAACUGGUCUGAGAGGAUGAUCAGUCACACUGGAACUGAGACACGGUCCAGACUCCUACGGGAGGCAGCAGUGGGGAAUAUUGGACAAUGGGCGAAAGCCUGAUCCAGCCAUGCCGCGUGUGUGAAGAAGGUCUUCGGAUUGUAAAGCACUUUAAGUGGGGAGGAAGGGCAGUAAGUUAAUACCUUGCUGUUUUGACGUUACCAACAGAAUAAGCACCGGCUAACUUCGUG
This 484-nucleotide ribosomal RNA is filed under the name uncultured bacterium. RNAcentral describes it as "partial 16S ribosomal RNA". It matches the Rfam family "Bacterial small subunit ribosomal RNA", at positions 30 to 507 of the family's 1533-position model. The record is from RNAcentral.